AACGAACGCUGGCGGCAGGCUUAACACAUGCAAGUCGAACGGACGUAGCAAUACGUUAGUGGCAGACGGGUGAGUAACGCGUGGGAAUGUGCCCUUUAGUUCGGAAUAACACAGAGAAAUUUGUGCUAAUACCGGAUAAUCCCGAGAGGGGAAAGAUUUAUCGCUGAAGGAGCAGCCCGCGUCUGAUUAGCUAGUUGGUGAGGUAAUGGCUCACCAAGGCGACGAUCAGUAGCUGGUCUGAGAGGAUGAUCAGCCACACUGGGACUGAGACACGGCCCAGACUCCUACGGGAGGCAGCAGUGGGGAAUAUUGGACAAUGGGGGCAACCCUGAUCCAGCCAUGCCGCGUGAGUGAUGAAGGCCUUAGGGUUGUAAAACUCUUUUGUCCGGGAAGAUAAUGACUGUACCGGAAGAAUAAGGACUCGGACUAACGUCCGUGCCAGCACGCCGGACGGUAAUACGUCUACUCG
Molecule: ribosomal RNA, 469 nt
Filed under: uncultured bacterium
Lineage: Bacteria
Description: bacterial SSU rRNA
Rfam family: Bacterial small subunit ribosomal RNA
Source: RNAcentral